GGGUAGUUUGCAAGUGCGUCGCGGAGCCGGCCUCGGAAAUAUGGCGACAGCUUCAGCUUUCAGUGUGAGGGAGCCGAGGGCCCAGCCAAACCCUGCGGGAGGCAAUUCCUGGAAUUUAUAGAGACAGGUACUCACUAUGUCACCUGUGCUGGUCUUGAACUUCUGGCUUUAAGUGAUUCUCCUGCCUUGGCCUCCCAAAGUGCUGGGAUUACAGAUGCCAGCAGGAGCAUAUCACUGUGACUUACAACCCUUCUCUAGUCUGCUACAAUGGAAUCUUAAACAAGAAAAUUUUAUAUUUUGACUUGCAUCAUUGAGAAAAACACUGCCAACCUGAUCGUGGUUCCUUUGAAGAGCAUGGAAGGAAGCAAUGAAAAAAGCCUCACUCCUGGUUGCACACCUGGGAUUCUGUACCUGACGGACACCAUCCAUCCUUUUAGAUGAUGCAUUGAGUCCUAACUAUUCCCUUCCCAAGAAAGUUCAAGCCAGGAGAUCAAUCUGCUUGGGAUGGAAAGCUUAAAUCAAGAAUAAUUAGAAACCCUGAACAGAACAAUAACAAGCAGCAAGAUUGAAAUGGUAAUACAAAAGUUACCAAGGAAAAAAAAGUCCAGGACCAGAUGUAUUCACGGCUAAAUUCUAUCAGACAUUCAAAGAAUUGGUAACAAUCCAAUUGACAUUAUUCCACAAGGUAGAGAAAGAGGGAAUCCUUCCUAAAUUAUUCUAUGAAGCCACUAUCACCCUAAUACCAAAACCAGGAAAGGACAUGACAAAAAAGAAAACUACAGACCAAUAUCCCUGAUGAACACAGAUGCAAAAAUUCUUAACAAAAUACUAGCUAACUGAAUCCAACAGCAUAUCAAAAAGAUAAUCCAGCAUGAUCGAGUGGGUUGCAUGCCAGGGAUGCAGGGAUGGUUUAACAUACACAAGUCAAUAAAUGUGAUAUGCCGCAUAAACAGAAUUAAAAACAAAAAUCACAUGAUCAUCUCAAUAGAUGCAGAAGAAGCAUUUGACAAAAUCCAGCGUCUCUUUAUGAUUAAAACCUUCAGCAAAAUUGGCAUACCAGGGACAUACCUCAAUGUAAUAAAAGCCAUCUAUGACAAACUCACAGCCAACAUAAUACUGAAUGGGGAAAAGUGGAAAGCAUUCCCUCUGAGAACUGGAACAAGACAAGGAUGCCCACUCUCACCACUUCUAUUCAACAUAGUACUGGAAGUCCUAGCCAGAGCAAUCAGACAAGAGAAGGAAAUAAAGGGCAUCCAAAUUGGUAAAGAGUCAAACUGUCGCUGUUUGCUGAUGAUAUGAUCAUAUGCCUAGAAAACCCUAAAAACUCAUCCAGAAAGCUCCUAGAACUUAUAAAUAAAUUCAGCAAAGUUUUAAGAUACAAAAUUAAUGUAUACAAAUCAGUAGCUCUGCUAUACACCAGCAGCAACCAAACUGAGAAUCAAAUUAAGAACUCAACCCCUUUUACAAUAGCCACAAAACAAACAAACAAACUUAGGAAUAUACCUAACCAAGGAGGUGAAAGACCUCUACAAGGAAAACUACAAAACACUGCUGAAAGAAAUCAUAGACACCACAAACAAAUGGAAACACAUCUCAUGCUCACGGAUGGGUAAAAUCAAUUAUUGUGAAAAUGACCAUUCUGCCAAAGGCAAUCUACAAAUUCAAUGCAAUUCCCAUCAAAAUAUCAUCAUCAUUCUUCACAGAACUAGAAAAAAAAUCCUAAAAUUCAUAUGGAACCAAAUAAGAGCCCAAAUAGCCAAAGCAAGCCUAAGCAAAAAGAACAAAUCUGGAGGCAUCACAUUACUGAUUUCAAACUAUACUAUAAGGCUAUAGUCACCAAAACAGUAUGGUACUGGUAUAAAAAUAGGCACAUCAACCAAUAGAACAGAAUAGAGAAUCCAGAAAUAAACCCAAAUACAUACAGCCAACUGAUCGUUGACAAAGCAAACAAAAACAUAAAAUGGGGAAAGGACACUCUUUUCAACAAAUGGUGCUGGGAUAAUUGGCUAGCCACAUGUAUGAGAAUGAAAUUGGAUCCCCGUCUCUCACCUUAUACAAAAAUCAACUCAAGAUGAAUGAAGGACUUAAAUCUAAGACCUGAAACUAUAAAAGUUCUAGCAGAUAACAUUGGACAAACACUCCUAGAGAUUGGUUUAGGCAAAUACUUCAUGACCAAGAACCCAAAAGCAAAUGCAACAAAAACAAAGAUGAAUAGCUCAGACUUACUAAAGAGCUUUUCCACAGCAAAAGGAAGAAUCAGCAGAGUAAACAGACAACCCACAGAGUGAGAGAAAAUCUUCAUAAUAAUACAUCUGACAAAGGGCUAAUAUCCAGAAUCUAUAAAGAACUCAAGCAAAUUAGCAGGAAAAAAUCAAACAGUCCCAUAAAAAAGUUGGCUUAAAAGAAGAUAUACAAAUGGCCAAAAAAUAUGAAAAACUGCUCAACAUCACCAAUGAUCAGAAAAAUGCAAAUCAAAACCACAGUGUGAUACCACCUUACUCCUGCAAGAAUAGCCAUAAUCAAAAAAUCAAAAAAGAAUAGAUGUUGGCAUGGAUGCUGUGAAAAGGGAACACUUCUACACUGCUGGUGGGAAUGUAAACUAGUACAACCUAUGGAAAACAGCAUGGAGAUUCCUUAAAGAACUAAUAGUAGAACUGCCAUUUGAUCCAGCAAUCCCACUAUUGGGUAUCUACCCAGAGGAAAAGAAGUCAUUAUACAAAAAAGAUACUUGCACACACAUGUUUAUAGCAGCACAAUUCGUAAUUUCAAGAAUAUGGAACCAGCCCAAAGGUCCCUCAUUCAAUGAGUGGAUGAAGAAGUUGUGAGAUAUAUAUACAUAUAUAUACGUAUAUAUAUAUGUAUAUAUAUGUGUAUAUAUAUACGUAUAUAUGUAUAUAUAUGUGUAUAUAUAUACGUAUAUAUACUUAUAUAUGUAUGUAUAUGUGUAUAUAUACGUAUAUAUACUUAUAUAUGUAUGUAUAUGUGUAUAUAUACAUAUAUACGUAUAUAUAUACACAUAUACAUAUAUAUAUAUAUAUAUAUAAAAUGGAAUACUACUCAGUCAUAAAAAGGAUUGAAUUAAUGGCAUUCAUAGCAACCUGGAUGGAACUGGAGACUAUUAUUCUAAGUAAAGUAACUCAGGAAUGGAAAACCACACAUUGUAUGUCCUGAGUCAUAAAUGGGAGCUAAGCUAUGAGGAUGCAAAGGCAUAAGAAUGAUACAAUAGACUUAGGGUACUCAGAGGAAAGAGUGGGUGGGGGUGAGGUAUAAAAGACUACAAAUAAGUGCAGUGUAUCCUGCUCAGGUGAUGAGUGCAUCAAAAUCUCACAAAUCACUACUAAAGAACUUACUCAUGUAACCAAGUACCACCUGUUC
This is a long non-coding RNA of Homo sapiens (human), 3375 nucleotides long. The record is from Ensembl. NCBI's taxonomy places the organism in Eukaryota, Metazoa, Chordata, Mammalia, Primates, Hominidae.